CCUACGGGUGGCAGCAGUGGGGGAUAUUGCACAAUGGGGGGAACCCUGAUGCAGCGACGCCGCGUGGGUGAAGGAGUAUUUCGGUAUGUAAAGCCCUAUCGGCAGGGAAGAAUUUAGACGGUACCUGACUAAGAAGCCCCGGCUAACUACGUGCCAGCAGCCGCGGUAAUACGUAGGGGGCAAGCGUUAUCCGGAUUUACUGGGUGUAAAGGGAGCGUAGACGGCAUGGCAAGUCUGAUGUGAAAACCCGGGGCUCAACCCCGGGACUGCAUUGGAAACUGUCAGGCUAGAGUGUCGGAGAGGCAAGUGGAAUUCCUAGUGUAGCGGUGAAAUGCGUAGAUAUUAGGAGGAACACCAGUGGCGAAGGCGGCUUGCUGGACGAUGACUGACGUUGAGGCUCGAAAGCGUGGGGAGCAAACAGGAUUAGAUACCCUUGUAGUC
This 441-nucleotide ribosomal RNA is filed under the name uncultured bacterium. Its description in RNAcentral is "partial 16S ribosomal RNA". It matches the Rfam family "Bacterial small subunit ribosomal RNA", at positions 338 to 795 of the family's 1533-position model. The record is from RNAcentral.